AGAGUUUGAUCCUGGCUCAGAUUGAACGCUGGCGGCGUGCCUAACACAUGCAAGUCGAACGCCCUACGCAAGUAGGGAGUGGCGGACGGGUGAGGAACACGUGGGUACCUACCCUUCAGUGAGGAAUACCGGCGAGAAAUCGCCGACAAUACCGCAUACGCUUCGCAAGAAGCAAAGCUCGCAAGAGCGCUGAGGGAUGG
This 200-nucleotide ribosomal RNA is filed under the name uncultured bacterium. RNAcentral describes it as "partial 16S ribosomal RNA". It matches the Rfam family "Bacterial small subunit ribosomal RNA", at positions 8 to 228 of the family's 1533-position model. The record is from RNAcentral.